UACGGGGGGAGCGAGCGUUGUUCGGAAUUACCGGGCGUAAAGGGCUCGCAGGCGGGAUAGAAGGUCAGAUGUGAAAACCUACGGCUCAACCGUGGGCCUGCAUCUGAAACCACUAUUCUUGAGUAUCGGAGAGGAAAGCGGAACUCUUGGUGUAGCGGUGAAAUGCGUAGAUAUCAAGAGGAACGCCGGUGGCGAAGGCGGCUUUCUGGCCGAAUACUGACGCUCAGGAGCGAAGGCCGGGGGAGCAAACAGG
Molecule: ribosomal RNA, 253 nt
Filed under: uncultured bacterium
Lineage: Bacteria
Description: partial 16S ribosomal RNA
Rfam family: Bacterial small subunit ribosomal RNA
Source: RNAcentral